GAAAAUAAAACAGCCUGUAGAGGAAGCGAUGCUCUGUGGAAGCCACUCACCCCCUCAAGAAUGCUGCUGAAAUGAUUAUUUAACAAGAAAUUCUGCCCCUCACCCUGGCAAGAAAAUGAAACACAACUGGCACAAAAUGCAGCCCGCUCUCCUCCCGCAGCUGCCGUUCCGCCUAAUUGCACCACGCUCCCCUGCACAAACCCCAAGCUAAAACCUGAAGCCCCAACAGCAAAACCUGAUUGGAUGGGUGCGCUGCGUCCUCCGUGGAAAUAACGAAGAGGAGCCAAACGUUCUUCCUUGAGCUCCUUGCAGAACAGGCAGUCAGCAGCCGAGGGCAAGCAACGGAUCAGCAGAAAAAGGUCCACAAAGCUGGAUAAAUUCCUCUGAAGGGGGCAUGCAGCAGCAGGCACGGCAAGCUCCUGAGGGCAGGGAACUUGCACCGAAACACACAGAGCUCCCUGUAAAACUGUAGACGUGAAAGAGAUGCUGGAAGGAAAGCACACAAACACACACACAGUGAUUUUAGCUCAAUUACAGCUCCGGUGUUAAACUGCAGCAGCUGGAAUGGAGCGCAAAGGGGGGAAACCCCCAGAAGGAAAAAAGCCCCAAAUUGGUUUCAGCUCCAAAACUAGAGAUAACAACUCCUGAACAUCAAGCAGUUUAGAAAUCAAGCAACACCAGCAGCGAAUGAUGGAAAUUCUCUGUAAAAGAAAUGGAGCUUUUUCUGUGAAGCUACAGCAAAUUCCACGAGGUGCCCUGCAGCUCAAGAACAAAGGCAACAAAGAAGCAAGGCAGGAAAGCUCCAGGCAACGCAGAUAAGAUCUCCGACAAACAGGAACAGCUGACAGGCGGGAAAAAAACGUGGGGGCUAGCUGGCGAAAAGAGGGUGAGCCCCCUCUGCGCCGGCCCUAAAUAGGGCAGACACGGCCGGGAUUCCCCUGCUCUCGCGGGGGCCGAAACCAGCCCCCGCUCACGUGGGGGGUGGGUGUGAAGCCCGCAACCCCACCUCCUGGGCAGGCCGGAAGUGGCUUUGUGCUUAUUUCAAUUCGCAUGGGGUUUUAUGGGUGUGCACCAGAAUCACCCCCAACCAAAGCAAAAAGGUCUUUUGGGUUCCAUCUACAUAAAAAGAAGAUGAUAAAGCUCUGAUUGGGCUUAUUUCAAAUUGGUGUUUUUGGGGUUAGAAUGCACAUUCACCCAAAUAUCGCAGAGUGACAUGUUUAUCAGCCCAAUCCAAGCUGAUAAUUGGUGUUUUUGGGGUUAGAAUGCACAUUCACCCAAAAAUCGCAGAGUGACAUGUUUAUUAUCAGCCG
RNAcentral lists this long non-coding RNA (1310 nucleotides) under Podarcis lilfordi (Lilford's wall lizard). The record is from RNAcentral. Lineage: Eukaryota; Metazoa; Chordata; Lepidosauria; Squamata; Lacertidae.